GGCUCAAUGGUCUAGUGGUAUGAUUGUCGCUUCGGGAACAUACAUUUGUGCCCCCUCGAGAGAGGAGAAAUUGUGACAGGCCCCGGGUUCAAAUCCCGGUUGAGCCC
Molecule: non-coding RNA, 107 nt
Organism: Hyaloscypha hepaticicola
Lineage: Eukaryota; Fungi; Ascomycota; Leotiomycetes; Helotiales; Hyaloscyphaceae
Source: the annotation of a GenBank genome assembly